ACUGGCGAGGGGAAUUAGUUACAUUACCAUGCAAGUUUUCAGCAUACGACUAUACUGGUGUUGGAUACUUUUAUCCGGCAGAUCUUGCCUUCCACGUCAAUGGGCGUGGCAGAAAAGGCGACAAUAUGAUGGUUUUCAAACAUUUAGAUCAAAAUGGUGAUGGCAGGGUCACAGAAAGUGAGUUUGAUAAUACAAAGAAACAUCUUCUAAUUGACCAAGAAACCUGUUAAACAUUUGAUGUAAUUGGAAAAGAACAACGCUCGAUACACCUUAAAUACGUUUGACAGUUGAUAAAAGUGUUAUUCUUAUUUUUCACGUUAAUUAUAUAUUAUAAUUAGCUGGAAAAUGUUUUUGCAAAAUAAAUUAUGCAUCAUUCAGAA
Mytilus trossulus (common blue mussel) is the source of this 380-nucleotide long non-coding RNA. RefSeq lists it as uncharacterized. The transcript is spliced from 3 exons. The record is from RefSeq and is a predicted model, not a curated record. NCBI's taxonomy places the organism in Eukaryota, Metazoa, Mollusca, Bivalvia, Mytilida, Mytilidae.